CGCAGUAACAUUGAUGACGACAGCUCCCAUCCCAGAAGUGUGUGAUGGUGACUGCCUUUGAAGACUCAUGAGAAACUGAGACCUCUAAAAGGUUGAUAAAACACGGCUCCUGUGCUCUGAGCCAAGGUGGAAGGGAUGGUGUACAUGUGAGAAUGGGCUCAGAUUGGAACCUGGCCUUUUGCUUUGUGCAUCAGCACGGGCCAGCAGCUAUUGACUACAAAAGCCAUAUGGGAGCAGGAUCCCCUCAAACUUUACCCAAACAGAGAAAAGCCAGACUCAACUUAACUGUAUCCAAGAGAGCUCCUCCUAUCAAUUAGGACAAACCCGACCAUUGAUCUGUACUCAACUUUGUGUUGUACUCUGAAGAUCAGCACAAUGGGACUCUGUCAGACUACAAGGGGAAGUCAUUCUGUCUGAGUUUUCCUGAAAAAAAACAGCUUGUCUCUAGUCUUCUGAUUCACAAAAAGCACAACUGUGAAGCAAGUUUACUGCCACUGACUGAAGCUAAACUGGGGCAGGCCAUCUCAACGUCACUGGCAAUGGAAAUUGCCCAUGAUGGAUAUGAAUGAGUCCAUGAGACCAUUACACAGACAGGCCAACAAAGGCAUUGCUAAUGGAUGCCUUAUACCAUCGCUGGCCAUUGGACUGGUCUUAAAUAGCUAAUGAAAAAUAAAAUUUUCUCAACCUUUGAUCUCAAAGUUGUCUCUUAAAGAAUUCUUUCUUCCUAAUCUGUACCCAUAAAAUUAAAAAAGAAACAUGGAUAGUUGUAGUUCUUAAAGGAACAAAAAUGUGAUUUAUUUCUAAAAGACAAUAAUCUUCUGUCCUGCACUUUUUCUGUGUUCUCAUCCUGUUUUGCCUAGACUUUUGAAAUGUCCCCAUACUUAAUCUCCCUGCUUCCACUCUCAUCUCCUUUCUAAUCAGUCAUCCAUGAAACUGAUGUAUCUAAAGCCCAGUUCUUUACCAGUCACUCCUUUCCUGCUCAAGAAACUUCAAUGAUUCCUACUUAUACUCAUGAAACACAAAUUCCUCUGUGUGACAUUUUAAUUCAUUCACAAUUCGCUUCUAACCCAUUUUUCCCAACUCUUUCACAUUACUCCCCCUUGUGGUCCCCGUAUUCACCCAAGGUGGUUGAUUUGCUUUUUCCCAUACAUAAAAGUAUAUAUGUUUGUUUCCCCAUAUGUAUGUAUGUGUAUGUUUCCCUAUAAACUACAUUUCCAAAGCUCUUCCCCAUGCCUGGAAUGCCUUCUUGUUACUGGUUCUUAAAAUAACUAGCUCUGUUCAAGAUUUAAGCCAAGCAGCACCUUCCAUAUUCUUUCCUGAUCCUAAUUCUUAGUACCUUUACCCCAAGUAGUAUAUAUUUACUUUGAAUGGUAUAACUCAGAACUAGGAAAACCUAGUCCCAGUCCCACUUCUGACACAUAGUGGCUCUGUGGUAUAACUCCAGACAAUCCAUUAAAUCCAGUUUUCUAGGCAGCUCUCUGAGAUCAUAAGCUGCAUUCAGGAUAUUAUCUGGAUCAAUGAAAUCAUAGGUCUAGUCUUUAUCCCCAUCCCUAUAUUUUCUAUUUUUGGCAAAAUAAUACAUACUUAUUUUUGUAUGUGUGUUUUCCCUUAAUAGAAUAUAAGCUCCCUAAGGACAGGGAUUAAUUCGUUUUUAUCAUUGUAGCUACAUUGUCUAGUAGAAUACCUUGCAAAUAGUACCCUUUCAGUACCAUUUCACCUAGCAGUGCCACAAAAGAGGAAA
Long non-coding RNA from Antechinus flavipes (yellow-footed antechinus), 1741 nucleotides. RefSeq lists it as uncharacterized. NCBI's taxonomy places the organism in Eukaryota, Metazoa, Chordata, Mammalia, Dasyuromorphia, Dasyuridae. The transcript is spliced from 3 exons. The record is from RefSeq and is a predicted model, not a curated record.